UCGAAAUUCAACUGUAAAGCUGGCCACAAACAGGGUACAAUUCCCAGCGAUUUGUUGCAGUUAGAAAAAAACAAUCGUGUAUGGCGAAGUGCGGGCAAAAAUUCCAAGUAAUUGAAAAUUAUCAUUUACCUGAGAUUUGUUGCUAGUUUGUGGAUUUUCUCACAUUCUUCUGUUUUUUUACUGACCGUCGUCGAGAUAAGAUAUGACGAUCGCAACAAAAUGAUGGUUCAUGAAUUUGUGUACAGUAUAGGUGCUACGGACUAGACACAAAUCGCUGGGAAUUAUGUCCUGUUUGUGGCCGGCUUAAGAGAGUUGGUUUAGAGACGACUGCCAAUUCUACCUACUUACCUACCUUCUAGAUUCCGUCAAAAUUCAACUGUAAUGGACUGUUACACGAGUAUACUCAAUAUCAAGAAUGAUAGAAUACAAGAUGUCGCCUUGCGAACUCCUUGUGGCGCCAGUUCUGCAGAUAAACAAACAAAAGGACGAACAAUUAGUUUUUUGGGGAAGCGGAAGAGUUAGUAAAAUCAAUGGAAACUGCCAAAUACAAUUAAUUAUUUUAUAUACACACAUACACACUUUCUUGUAGCGGCGUUGUCCGUAAAGAACGCGAAAAUACUGUAUUUGGUCUUUUGUUAGAAUUUGUGUUUUCACAAU
Anastrepha ludens (Mexican fruit fly) is the source of this 657-nucleotide long non-coding RNA. RefSeq lists it as uncharacterized. The transcript has 3 exons. NCBI's taxonomy places the organism in Eukaryota, Metazoa, Arthropoda, Insecta, Diptera, Tephritidae. The record is from RefSeq and is a predicted model, not a curated record.